GUCUACGGCCAUGCCACCCUGAACAAGCCUGAUCCCAUCUGAUCUCGGAAGCUAAGCAAGGUUGGGCCUGGUUAGUACUUGGAUGGGAGACCACCUAAGAAGACCAGGUGCUGUAGGUG
This 119-nucleotide ribosomal RNA is filed under the name Pteropus alecto (black flying fox). RNAcentral also lists the same sequence under 1 other name. The record is from RNAcentral. Lineage: Eukaryota; Metazoa; Chordata; Mammalia; Chiroptera; Pteropodidae.